GAAUUCGCCCUUAGAGUUUGAUCCUGGCUCAGGAUGAACGCUGGCGGCGUGCUUAACACAUGCAAGUCGAACGGGGGUCAUAUGAUGGAAGUCUUCGGAUGGAAGUGGUGUGACUCUAGUGGCGGACGGGUGAGUAACACGUGAGCAACCUGCCUUUUGCUGGGGAAUAACUGUGGGAAACCAUGGCUAAUACCGCAUAUUGUACUGACUGGGCAUCCGGUUGGUAUGAAAGGAGAAAUCCGGCAGAAGAUGGGCUCGCGUCCGAUUAGGUAGUUGGUGGGGUAACGGCUCACCAAGCCGACGAUCGGUAGCCGGACUGAGAGGUCGAACGGCCACAUUGGGACUGAGAUACGGCCCAGACUCCUACGGGAGGCAGCAGUGGGGAAUAUUGGGCAAUGGGGGAAACCCUGACCCAGCGACGCCGCGUGAAGGACGAAGGCUUUCGGGUUGUAAACUUCUUUGGGGAGGGACGAAAUUGACGGUACCUCCAGAACAAGCCACGGCUAACUACGUGCCAGCAGCCGCGGUAAUACGUAGGUGGCAAGCGUUAUCCGGAUUUACUGGGUGUAAAGGGCGCGCAGGCGGUUCUGAAAGUCAGAUGUGAAAGAUCAAGGCUUAACUUUGACAGGUCAUCUGAAACUUUGGGACUUGAGUAUCAGAGGGGAAAGUGGAAUUCCUGGUGGAGCGGUAAAAUGCGCAGAGAUCAGGAGGAACACCGGUGGCGAAGGCGACUUUCUGGCUGACAACUGACGCUGAGGCGCGAAAGCGUGGGGAGCAAAUCAAGAGUGAGAUACCCUGGUAGUUCCCCCCCGUAAACGAAGAUUACUGGGUGUAGGGGGUAUUGACUCCCUCUGUGCCGAAGCAAACGCGAUAAGUAAUUCACCUGGGGAGUACGGCCGCAAGGCUAAAACUCAAAGGAAUUGACGGGGGCCCGCACAAGCAGUGGAGUAUGUGGUUUAAUUCGAGGCAACGCGAAGAACCUUACCAGGGUUUGACAUCCCGCGCAAUAGGUAGAGAUACUUAGUUCCCUUCGGGGACGCGGAGACAGGUGGUGCGUGGUUGUCGUCUGCUCGUGUCGUGGGAUGUUCGGU
RNAcentral lists this ribosomal RNA (1091 nucleotides) under uncultured bacterium. RNAcentral's name for it is "bacterial SSU rRNA". It matches the Rfam family "Bacterial small subunit ribosomal RNA", at positions 1 to 1080 of the family's 1533-position model. The record is from RNAcentral.